UAUGUUCUAUGGAACUUGACACAGAAGGC
RNAcentral lists this non-coding RNA (29 nucleotides) under Rattus norvegicus (Norway rat). The record is from RNAcentral. Lineage: Eukaryota; Metazoa; Chordata; Mammalia; Rodentia; Muridae.